GGCAGCCGCGGUAAUUCCAGCUCCAAUAGCGUAUAUUAAAGUUGUUGCAGUUAAAAGCUCGUAGUUGAAUUUCGGGGUCAGUAAGUUGGUCGUGCCACUGGUAUGUACUGGCUUUACUGAUUCCUCCUUCUUGUAGAACUGUGAUGUCAUUAAUUUGGUGUUGCAGGGAAACAGGACUGUUACUUUGAAAAAUUAGAGUGUUUAAAGCAGGCUAACGCUUGAAUACAUUAGCAUGGAAUAAUGAAAUAGGACGUUUCGAUUCUAUUUUGUUGGUUUCUAGGAUUGACGUAAUGAUUAAUAGGGAUAGUUGGGGGCAUUAGUAUUCAAUUGUCAGAGGUGAAAUUCUUGGAUUUAUUGAAGACUAACUACUGCGAAAGCAUUUGCCAAGGAUGUUUUCAUUAAUCAAGAACGAAAGUUAGGGAUUGAAGACG
RNAcentral lists this ribosomal RNA (431 nucleotides) under uncultured Glomeromycotina. RNAcentral's name for it is "SSU rRNA". It matches the Rfam family "Eukaryotic small subunit ribosomal RNA", at positions 569 to 1006 of the family's 1831-position model. The record is from RNAcentral. Lineage: Eukaryota; Fungi; Glomeromycota.